Felis catus (domestic cat) is the source of this 5307-nucleotide long non-coding RNA. RefSeq lists it as uncharacterized. NCBI's taxonomy places the organism in Eukaryota, Metazoa, Chordata, Mammalia, Carnivora, Felidae. The transcript is spliced from 3 exons. The record is from RefSeq and is a predicted model, not a curated record.
CCGUGCUCUGAGUUCCCAUCAAGCAGGAUAUGUAGGAAAAACAUGUUCAGCGUUCAAGGUCAGGGACUCCAGAGGUGGCCAAGGGGGAGCAUCUCCUUUGUAACAAAGAAUGUCUGUAUGGCAUACCAUGAUCUCCUUGGAGCUGGCCAUGCAAGGAGGGAAAAGGCAACAGAUAGCUGGCUGGGCUAGAUGCCGUGGGUAGAUCCCAGCAGCGGAUGUUUUGUCCAGUCUGCUGUUCCUGGACUCCCUGUGCGUUCCCCUCUCCGUGGGGAUGGCUGCGGGCAUGCGGUGCCCGGGGCUGGCCCUACUUACCCUGGACUGCACUGGACGCUACACCCGGGACGCUACAUCCCUGCCUGCCCGGGCCGUCUACUCACUCGCUUACAGGAGAAACCUACCAGCUGGAAGGUGGUCAGGGCCCGACGUAGAACCAAACACACAUCUUAGUGGCUCUGUCCCCUGGCCAUGGUCUUCCCCUCUGCGGCCGCCACGGAUGCAAGGGGGCAAGACACACGGCUGCCAUCUUUAAUUCCUCCUGCAAGGCAAUCCCCCUCCUUACCUAGGAGAGUUCCCGAAUGAGGCAAGUCGUUCUGCAAAGUGGGAGAGCUCGUGAUGUGUUAACCGUAACACGAGGGACACGCGCUCUCAUCAAAACCGAAUGCUGCUCAUAUACACCUGAACGUUCCCACGACGUCUCCCAAGCCACGGCUAGUUCAAGCACACAGAGUAAACCUGCUGAUUCCCUGGCCACUGACCCGGCUGGGUUCAAUCGCUCGCCUUCUUCCUAGCAAAAUGCUUUCCAGAGUCUCACCAUCGUUUGUGUUUCCCUAGCCCCGGGAUGCUGCGGCUUGCACCGUGGCUCUGGGAUUUGGUUACAGUGCACCUCGGCAUACCGGCUCCAGCGACGCCGCGGAUGAGAGGCGUGAGAAGAACGUGUGGGCCGUCCAGGGUGCACAGGGGUGGAGCGUACGGGACCGUGCUGCUGGCUGCUUUGCUCACGCACACCCCGAACACCCCUGUCCAUCACUGUCUUGAGGAUGUCCACAUCCUGCGCUCCCUCUGUAUUCCCAUCAAGCAGGAUAUGCAGAAAAAAAUAUGUUCAGUGUUCAAGGUCAAGGGCUCGGGGGGCGGCCAGCCUGGUGCGCCUCCUUGAUAACAAAGAAUACCCGGAUGACAGGCCUUGAUCUCCUUGGAGCGCUGGUCAGGCGACGAGGGGGAGGACUGCAGAUAUUUGCUAGGCUACUUGCGACCCUACAGAAGCGUGCUGUGCACAGAGUCCCGCAGCAGAUGCUUUGGGGGGGCUCCAGGAGGGGGACAGAGGCUGACAAGGCUGGGCUCCCGAGCCCCACUUCACCCACAGAGAUAACGUAAACAAAGGGUGCUGCUGUUUUAAAAAGUGAUAAUGAAGUCUGAGCCCGUGAGAUGACCCAGCAUCCCCAUCAUCAGCUACAUCCGCUUGAUGGGGACAUGGGCUCUGCAGCCGGACCGGCCGGGUGCCCAUCCGGGAUCCUCUACCUACAUGCUCAGUGACCUUGUACAAGUCACAUCACCUCUCUGUCUCAGAUUCUCACGUGCAAGAUGCUACAACGGCAGAGUCACGGGGUAGCCAUGAGAGGAGCCACGUGAAGGGCUGAGAACAGAGCCCGGCAUGUGGUAAACACUUAACAGACAGCAGCUCCCAUCACAAGGGAUUACGGUGACAGCAUGGCCUCAAAUAUGGGAUGCCAGCGGCCCCGAGAUGUGCCGUGACUUUACGGACCCCGGCAAGAGCAAAAAAGCUGGUAACAAAACAACGAAGCUAUGUGGGUCUGAAGACACAUCCUGAUUUCAGAGCUGUUGACACAGUGUAACAGGUGCCUCUGAGAAGGACCAGCUUUCAUAACCGAAAGCUCUUCUCAGGCUCCUUUAUAGAGUUUCCAAAGCCACCAGCACAGGGAUGAGCACGCAGCAGGCAUUUAAAAAUGCCAUCGAGUUCUGAGCCUCAUCACAGGUGGGACCACCCGUCUCCACCUCCGUCUCCCUAGCCCAUGGCCUGAUUCCUGUAUACAUGGCGCAUACAGCUUGCUCCACGAAGCAACCAACGUGCGGGGCUUUCUGAGCACCCAGCGCUGCGUGGACAGAGCUCAGCCUUCCUGCCUGCUCCUUCUCUCCGCCCUUUACUUCCUUGUCAAGCGAACCCCUUCGUGUUUCCACCCCACACCAGGGAAAAUACUCCGGGGUCAAAAAUGAUCAGAUGGCCUCCCCUAAACACAGGACAGGGUUUAGAGGACAAUUCUGCUUCUCUCCAUUUUCAAGGGUGAAAUGUGAUCGUUCUACCCCCCAGGGAGCCAAAACCCCUUCUGGCCUGGACAAUCACUUCCAAAUGAUGGAUUUGGAAACCUCCCUGCCAUCUGUUCUUGAUUCUGGACUGGCUGUCUGGCUCAGCUUAACAUCCUGGGGUGGCCUCCCCCCGCCCCACACCGGGGCCUCCAUCGUCCCUUCCUUCCGCCCCAUCUCCCAGCAAGCUGGAGGCUCCGAGACAGCACUUGGCAGGCAAUUCGAGGUCAUCCCAGAGGGCCCACGUCCGUACCUGCAAGUUUGGAGGAAAUGGGGGUCUGUGGGGAUGGCUGAGCUGGAAGAGGAACACCAAGUGGGAGUCAGAUCCGUUCAGCUGGACUGAGACCUGUUGAGAGGCCGAGGGGGAGGGGGAGGGUCAGAGGGAGCAGAGGAGGGAGAGGGAGAACCCCAGAAGGUAGCUGGCUGGGCGCUCCAAGGGGGACGGUCAUCCCAGAGUUUGCCCAAAGCCCAGGCCAACGGCACCUUCUGUGAUGCUUCUUGGCCCCAGAUGUUACUCAGGCUCUGUUACUUGCAAGCGUGAGAAGUACAGCCCCAGACAUGGGGCUGGGAAGAUAACUCUGGGACCCUGGAACCCCUACGUCCCCUGCCACGGUGCCUGCUCAUGUCUCCCAUGUCCACGGCUGCAUUCUAUCUGACCCUGGCCAGGAAGUAGGCACUGGACAACUGGCUUUACAACCGUCGCCUCAUUUAAUCGUCACCGCUCCUCUCACACGCUGGUGGCCUCCACCUCCCUGCUCUUGGCCUGGGUGAGCGAGAACCAGUGGCAUUCAGAGACGUGACUUCCCAUUUCCAAGGGCCUGCAGAAGCCACCCCGGGAACCCAGCGGUGAGAACAAAGUGGUCCCAAGAUGUCUACCCACCCACUCACAGGGCAGGGAGUGGGACCAAGCGCACCAGGGUCUUUCCAACAGGGAUGGUCAAGUCCGGUGCCCACAGGCAGAGUUUGUGGGGUGGGCCUGAGGGGGCAAACUUGAGGGUCUGUGUCUCAUUCCAAAGGAGUGUCCUGGUAUUAGUCUGUUUUGUUCACUGCUGUAUGCCUCAUAUUUAACGCAGGACCUGGUGCAUAGUAGGUGCUCAAGAAAUAUCUGGAAGAAUCCAGAAUCACCAGUGAUAGCCUGCAACCCCAAGGCCAAAGACAGGCUGGAAAAGAGAGAGAGAGGGACGGAGGGAGGGAGGGAGGAAGGAGGGGAAGUUGCUAUUUCUGCUGGCUUUGAAGACAGAGAAGGAACCACAACCCAAGAACCAUGGGUGGCUUUAACAAGUUAGCAAAGACGAGGAAACGGAUUCUCUCCUGAAGCUUCUGGAAGGCAUGUAACUCCAGCAACACCUGAUUUUAGCCAGGUGAAACUCAUUUGGGAUUUCCCAUCUCCAGAUCUCCAAGGUAAGAGUGUGCUGUUUUAAGCCACCAAGGGUGUGGUACUUUGUGCGACAGCCAUAGGAUCCUACCACCCGUGGGGGGAUCAUCUGUUCACUUAGCAGCCACUAGCCUCUGCCACAUGCCAAGCACCCGGGAGCAGGGCGCCAUCUGUGCCCAUCUGGGUUCACUAAGAAGUUACAAACGCCUUGCCACAGAAUUUUAUCGCUAGUGUAUAACUUUAGAAGAAUACACGGCUUUAAUUUAGAAACAACAGGGAAUAGGAAUAAAUUCUUCCAAGAGAAGAAAAGGAAAGCGUGCCAUUAAACACAGAGAGGGUUUUGAAAAGAACGGGCAGCCAGGGUGCCCGUGGGUGGCUCAGUCGGUUAAGCGUCCGACUUCGGCUCAGGUCAUGAUCUCCCAGUUCGUGGGUUCGAGCCCCACGUCGGGCUCUGUGCUGACAGCUCAGAGCCUGGAGCCUGCUUCGGAUUCUGUGUGUCCCUCUCUCUCUCUGCCCCUGCCCCGCUAGUGCUCUGUCUCUCUCUCUCAAAGAUAAACAUUAAAGAAGAACGGGCAGCCAUACUCAGCUAGAUUCAAAGGCUCCCGCCUACUUGGUUCUCGUUUCUUGUUACCAGGUGGGAUUUGGGACCCCAUGUGUCAGAUCUUCUGAUUCCUUUUUAAUUAGAAGCAGAAAUCUGAUUUUUACCCCCAAAUCUUCCGAUGUUCGAUGUUGACGAUGUUUUAAAACAUGUUAAGUGCUAAGCAGGCCAAACAAAACACAUCUGGAGGCUGGAUCCGGCCCACGGCGCCAUUCUGCAAUCUCCGGUUUAAACAACACUGAACACCGUGGGGAGGUAUUUCUGCAGGUGUUUGGGGUCGUCAUUAUGCCCUCUGUUUCCUGUCAGGAGCUCCAAGGCCUUCAGCCUCAAGCCUCUGGCAGCCAUCUACAGCCCUGUUUAACUGGUAGGGAUGUGGGGCUCCAGAAGGAGAGGUCUCUGUGCUCAAUAGCUGGUCCCACUUCACCCUUCAGCAGGCCUCUGUAUAUCCCGCAAGAGAGAAACCACCACUAAGUUCUUCGUCCAGGGCCUGGCACAUAGUAGGUGCUCAAUAAAUGCUUGCUGGAGAACGGGGUUACCUCCGGGGGCUUCUGCCCUAGAGGGAUCAGGAAGGAGUCCGGGAUGAGGGCUGAGGGGGCACCCGUCAGGUCCCCGAGGGAGAGGAUUACGUUACAUCUUGGUUCUCACAACCACUGCGUUAAGAGAUGUGUACUGUCUCCAUUUUACAGACGGGAAGACGGGGGUCCAGAGUUGUGGAAUCGUUUGCCAAGGGCACCUUGCAAACACGAGUCUCAUGCCUAGGAAGACGAAUGCGAACACAUUCUGAGGCAGGGGUUCAGGAAGCUACGGCCAGAGAGUCAGGCUGGGCUCGUUUUCUGUGUAUACGGUUGUGUUUGUCAGUGGGGGCUGCUGUAACAACAAUCCCAGAGACCGGGUGGUUUAAGCAACUGGAACUUAUUUCUGCCAGUUCUGGAGGCUGGAAAUCUGAGAUCAGGGCGCGCCGGCGUGGCUGAGUUCUGGCUUACACGUGGCUGUCUCCUUACUGUGCCCUCAUGGCGGG